AUGGAAUAAAGGCAGGGAACAUCUGUCAGCCCUGGCUGCAGAUAAGGGGAUUAACGUGACCUCUUGGCACGGGAGAUGGAGAGACGAGGAAACACAGGGCUCUUGCUCAGUUAUUGCUUCUGGCUGCUCACGCUCAGAGGUUUGUCCUUCCUUCUGUGUGGCUGCUCACAGGAGCAACCAAAAGAAGAGCCAGCAAGCAUUUGGGAAGUUGAGCUGCUCUAAAAACCUGGCAUCUGGACAAGCUGAACCCACCCACACCAGCUUCUCUCAUCUGCUACCUACAAAGCGCCUGGCUGAGUGCACUCGGAAAAGGUGCUCUCAGUGACUGCCCAGGAUGUUUCUACAGCGGGAAAUUUGGAGAGGUCAUGUUGGGAAAAACUAGUGAGAAGCUUCUCCUCCCUAUUUUAUGAAGAAACGAUGUAGCAGUGUAUGUCUAACAUAUACUAAGUGGCAGAAGCAGGAUAUUCAGUGUCAGAAAGUCUACAGUAUUUAAAAGGUUACACAGUUAAUACGGCUAAAAGCCUUCCUUUCUGAAACUGACUCUCAAACACUGAUUAUAGUUUAGAUUUUAAUUCUUUGGAAGUGUUGAUUGCUCAGACCAAAUCCUCACAGUGUCCCAUACCCUGAGAUGUUCAGAUCAGAACAUGUUUACAAAAGCAGUUAAACAGUCUGCAGGGAGGGUGAAAAUCUCU
Long non-coding RNA from Motacilla alba alba, 692 nucleotides. RefSeq lists it as uncharacterized. Lineage: Eukaryota; Metazoa; Chordata; Aves; Passeriformes; Motacillidae. The transcript has 3 exons. The record is from RefSeq and is a predicted model, not a curated record.